CGGACGAUGCUAUUGUUGUUGAUAUUGGUGAUGUUGUUGUUGUUAAUGCUGAUAAUGUUAAGUUUCCCUGAAGGUAGGUGCUAUAUGAGCCACUUGGUGCUGGUUACUAGCAGGGUGCAUAGUCUUCCUCUUUACAGAGGGUCUUCUCUUGAUAUGGGAGGACAUAUCAUGUACCUCUCCCUCCUUCUUCUUUGCAAACGCCCCAUAAUGUUUUGCAAAAGAG
Molecule: long non-coding RNA, 223 nt
Filed under: Lathyrus oleraceus (garden pea)
Lineage: Eukaryota; Viridiplantae; Streptophyta; Magnoliopsida; Fabales; Fabaceae
Description: Pisum sativum (pea) long non-coding RNA (PSAT_LNC030318)
Source: RNAcentral